UCCUACGGGAGGCAGCAGUGGGGAAUUUUGCGCAAUGGGCGAAAGCCUGACGCAGCAACGCCGCGUGCGGGAUGAAGGCCUUCGGGUUGUAAACCGCUUUCAGCAGGGAUGAAACUGACAGUACCUGCAGAAGAAGCCCCGGCUAACUACGUGCCAGCAGCCGCGGUAA
This 169-nucleotide ribosomal RNA is filed under the name uncultured bacterium. RNAcentral describes it as "partial 16S ribosomal RNA". It matches the Rfam family "Bacterial small subunit ribosomal RNA", at positions 337 to 523 of the family's 1533-position model. The record is from RNAcentral.